This 462-nucleotide ribosomal RNA is filed under the name uncultured bacterium. RNAcentral's name for it is "partial 16S ribosomal RNA". It matches the Rfam family "Bacterial small subunit ribosomal RNA", at positions 29 to 507 of the family's 1533-position model. The record is from RNAcentral.
AGUGAACGCUGGCGGCGUGCCUAAUACAUGCAAGUCGAACGGAGAUUAAGUAGCUUGCUAUUUAAUCUUAGUGGCGCACGGGUGAGUAAUAUAUAGCUAACUUGCCCAUUACUAAGGGACAACAGUUGGAAACGACUGCUAAUACCUUAUACUCCGUAUCUAUAUAAGUAGAUACGGGAAAGUUUUUCGGUAAUGGAUAGGGCUAUAUCGUAUCAGCUAGUUGGUAAGGUAAUGGCUUACCAAGGCUAUGACGCGUAACUGGUCUGAGAGGAUGAUCAGUCACACUGGAACAGAGACACGGUCCAGACUCCUACGGGAGGCAGCAGUAGGGAAUAUUGCUCAAUGGGGGAAACCCUGAAGCAGCAACGCCGCGUGGAGGAUGACACUUUUCGGAGCGUAAACUCCUUUUCUUGGGAAAGAAUUAUGACGGUACCCAAGGAAUAAGCACCGGCUAACUCCGUG